AUGUUAUGUUAAUGUUAUGUUAAUGUUAUGAGUGGGGCACGGCAGGAUCGCUGAGGCGAAGCCGGUGGGCGGGGAUUUGGGCGGAGCUUUGGGCGGAGCUUUGAGCGGAGCUUUGGGCGGGGCUUUGGGCGGAGCUUUGGGCGGGGCUUUGGGCGGAGCUUUGGGCGGGGCUUUGGGUGGGGCUUUGGGCGGGGCUUUAGGCGGAGCUUUGAGCUGAGCUUAAGUCAGGGUCGCGUCACGGCCAUGCCGGGCCUGAGUCGGGCGUGGUAAAGUGGGAAGGAACGAGCGCCAUGGAGUUGCCGGCUCCGCGUGGCAGCAGCGUGAUGUCGCUGGUCCCCGUCGUGGUGCUCUUGGCUCUGUGCCCGCUCCUCGCCCGGGCAGACCAGCCUCCUGUCACCAUCACGGUGACAGCGGCCAUCGGCGAGGACGCCUACCUGCCCUGCGGCCCGCGGCCCUGGGGUGACCUGCGCAGGGCCACCCUCAGCUGCACCCACCACAGAUGUCCCCAAGGAUGUGAAGCUGGACACGCUGAUGAGUGUUUGUGUCAUGGUGGCCCCAUUCGUCAUGGUGGCCAUCGUGGUGGUCAUCGGCGUGGUGAUGCGUGCCCACUGCCAGGGCCACUGCUGGGGGGCACAAAGGGGGUGCUGGGGGCAAAAAGGGGGUUCUGGGGGCACAAAGGGGGUGCUGGGGGCACAAAGGGGGUGCUGAAGGAGAUAAAGGUGAUGCUGAAGGGGACAAAGGGGGGUGCUGGGGGGGACAAAGGGGGUGCUGGGGGGCACAGAGGGGUGCUGGGGGGAUAAAGG
This 803-nucleotide long non-coding RNA is filed under the name Taeniopygia guttata (zebra finch). RNAcentral's name for it is "lncRNA (ENSTGUG00000019304.1)". Lineage: Eukaryota; Metazoa; Chordata; Aves; Passeriformes; Estrildidae. The record is from RNAcentral.